GGGCUGGGGCUGAGCGGUAGAGCUCUCGCCUAGCACGUGUGAGGCCCUGGGUUCGAUCCUCAGCACCACA
RNAcentral lists this transfer RNA (70 nucleotides) under Marmota monax (woodchuck). Its description in RNAcentral is "tRNA.Ala". Lineage: Eukaryota; Metazoa; Chordata; Mammalia; Rodentia; Sciuridae. The record is from RNAcentral.